UACACAUGCAAGUCGAACGGCAGCGCGGGGCAACCUGGCGGCGAGUGGCGAACGGGUGAGUAAUAUAUCGGAACGUACCCAAGAGUGGGGGAUAACGUAGCGAAAGUUACGCUAAUACCGCAUACGAUCCAAGGAUGAAAGCAGGGGAUCUUCGGACCUUGUGCUCCUGGAGCGGCCGAUAUCUGAUUAGCUAGUUGGUGAGGUAAAGGCUCACCAAGGCCACGAUCAGUAGCUGGUCUGAGAGGACGACCAGCCACACUGGAACUGAGACACGGUCCAGACUCCUACGGGAGGCAGCAGUGGGGAAUUUUGGACAAUGGGCGAAAGCCUGAUCCAGCAAUGCCGCGUGAGUGAAGAAGGCCUUCGGGUUGUAAAGCUCUUUUGUCAGGGAAGAAACGGUGAGGGCUAAUAUCCUUCGCUAAUGACGGUACCUGAAGAAUAAGCACCGGCUAACUACGUGCCAGCAGCCGCGGUAAUACGUAGGGUGCAAGCGUUAAUCGGAAUUACUGGGCGUAAAGCGUGCGCAGGCGGUUUUGUAAGUCUGACGUGAAAUCCCCGGGCUCAACCUGGGAAUUGCGUUGGAGACUGCAAGGCUAGAAUCUGGCAGAGGGGGGUAGAAUUCCACGUGUAGCAGUGAAAUGCGUAGAGAUGUGGAGGAACACCGAUGGCGAAGGCAGCCCCCUGGGUCAAGAUUGACGCUCAUGCACGAAAGCGUGGGGAGCAAACAGGAUUAGAUACCCUGGUAGUCCACGCCCUAAACGAUGUCUACUAGUUGUCGGGUUUUAAUUAACUUGGUAAC
This 799-nucleotide ribosomal RNA is filed under the name unidentified microorganism. Its description in RNAcentral is "bacterial SSU rRNA". It matches the Rfam family "Bacterial small subunit ribosomal RNA", at positions 50 to 847 of the family's 1533-position model. The record is from RNAcentral.